This is an RNA transcript of Zalophus californianus (California sea lion), 3895 nucleotides long. RefSeq lists it as uncharacterized. The transcript has 4 exons. NCBI's taxonomy places the organism in Eukaryota, Metazoa, Chordata, Mammalia, Carnivora, Otariidae. The record is from RefSeq and is a predicted model, not a curated record.
GCAGCCAGGGGCCCAGAAGAGCGCGAGCGGGCAGAGCGGCGGGGGAGGGGGCGGGCCCCCGGGGCUCCAAUCCUCUGCCUCAUUCCCAGCCCUAGGCUACUCACCUGGGCCUACUUCGCCCCCAGAGGUGAAGCUGGAGGAGCGGGGUCUGCCUUGGUCGCAGGGGCCCGGGAGGCUGGCGGGGUGUUUUUCCAGCAACAGACACCUGGGAGCCUCGAUGCCUGGUCAGCCCGGGACCCCGUCGGGCAGGCAGCCGGUUGCAGGGGGACUGCCUGUACCGUUGCAAGCUGCCCCCUGACAAGGGGUGUGGGGGUGCCCGUUUUAUUCGGGAGGCUGCUGGGGUGAUCCCGGCUGUCCCGAAUCUCCACCGGUUUCCAGGGCCUCGGGCUGGCUGACAGGCAGAGCGGAGGGAUCUGGGAGCCUUGCAAGACCUGACUGCGGCGUGCUGACCGUGGUACCCUCAAUGAGCGGCACCUGGGAGCCUGGUUUGCUGCAGAAACCCGGGCCUUCCAAACACAGAACCGAUUCUCCGUGGACUUCUGCAAAUACGUGGCCAAGAAGAAUACUCAGGGAGAGCUGCUGACUCUGGAGGCAUCAGGCAGGGGCACAAAAUGGAAGGUUCCACUCUGUUGACGAAGGUGUAAUUUCCGAACUGCCAUCAGUCACAAAGAGGAAAGAUGUUCUUACAUGAUGAUGAACAAAGUCAUAAAAGCUUAUUCAGGCCCAGAUUUUCCUUCCUUCCCGACACGUGAUUUUGUUCCAGUGUCCCCUCCCAUUUCUUCCUAUAUCUGCACACCUCUGAGAGGAACAGCUGAGGUGUCAGGAUUGGCAAAGGCAGGUGGGCUUUGACUUGCUUCUCGAUUUGCAUUUCUGGUUUUGUAGGGGUUUGGGAGAUGGUGGUGUCUGCACCCCCGAGGAGCUGGGUGACAGCCUGGGUGUCUCGGGCCCGGCCGCCUUCGGGACCUCGCUUGGCUUCUUCACAUCAGGACGAACGCCAGCCAAGCCGGAAUCAAAACCUUUAUACCUUUGUGAAGUCUGUAUAAAGCGUGACAAAGUCUUCUGAGUCCACAUUCAACCUUGGCUCCGAUCAGCCCUGGGAUACGGCCUUUAGCCGGUCAUUCGUAGGAAGGCCUCGGGGCGACACUGGUCCUCUGCUUCCUCUAGGGGGGACAGUGGGUGUCGACAGGCACUCCUCUUUCUCAUUCCUCCCCACAGCUGGAAGAUCGGGAAGCGGAGGUAGACGGGCUUUAUAAAGGAUCUGCUGCUGCGCUGGGGACCGGACUUUGGCGUGGUGGGGCGGGGUGGGCUAGGGUCCAUCUGCAGAGGACACUGCACGGGUCUGCCUGAGGCCGGCAGAGCCUGAGGACAGAGCCUGGACCGAGCCAGGAAUUGCAAACCUCACUGCCAGCUCCGAGCAUAUGGACACGGCUGCCCUGUCGGCCGGGGGCCCAGAGAUUGGGCCCGAGGGCCCUCUGCAAACCGUGUCAGGGACGGCACGUCCCAAGAGGCAGACGGGGGCCGGAUGCUGAGCGCGGGAGCUGAGCUCGGAGGACAUCCACUUCUGUCCUAAUUCUAAUGUCUGUUAUGUUGUCCAGGGAGUCCCUGAGGCUAACCCUUGCACUCCUCAGAAAACGGGGAACUCGCUACAGAGAAGUCGCUCUCUCUCAAACAGAGCCAAUUGAAAGAGUCCAUCAUGGGGCCAGUGACCAGUAGGAGCUUAUUAAUCUGAACAGGGACUCAAAGCAAUAAGGUUCUUUAGGGAAAGAUGCGGAGGCAGUGUUCCAGGCUCACCAUGGACACGGGUGUUGCAGCCCCCACGACCCGAAAGUUUACUCCCCGAAACAGUCUACGAAAGGGCCUUCGUACGCAGGGAGUGAGGACAGGUGCCGAGCGUGGGGUCUCCCGCAAAUGUGAGCGGCCUCCAGCCCGAGUCCUGCUCACCCGUGACAGUGGGCAGGUGUCCUGGCAGGGAUUCUUCCGGCGCUAACACACGGCAAGGGCUGAGAGGACGGAGCUCCCUCGCGUGCCGGCGCCUCUCGUGCCAGACCCCGCGGGGAGCUGGAGGGUUCCGUGUCGCCGGACCCUGGUCCGUGGGUUCUGUGACGGGCCACCGAGGGUCACCCCGGAAGCGCCCCCUCCCACAGCGGAGGCAGAGAAGAUCCUCGCCACUCACGAAGCCAGGCGCUCAGGACCCAAGAACAUGAAAGCACACGCCUCGCCCGGUUUCCACGCGGGGCACCCAGAGCACGGUGUGAACGCGCCCGUCGAGGCCGGCUUGAACCGCAGGCUUGCAGGCCCAAGGGCUGUGUUCUCCCUGCGGUGAGUCCUCUUCGUGACAAAGACAAACGGCCACCAUCUCUGGGAGGACGUGGGUGAAUCUGCCAAGAGAAGCUACCAAAUUCACCAGAGUCGCUAAGCGCAAGGAACUGGUUCUGCAAGUAUUUCCUCCCGCUGCUCUGAGCUUAGAAAGUGAGGAAAGGGACCCACGCUCUUGCUCCCAUGCGGCCCCGAGGCUGACUCGGGAGGGAUUCUCGCACUGGCUGCGUCGGGAGUCAGGUUAAUCGAAAGUGAUCAACAUCCCAAUGUGGCACAUUUAGGGGGCCCUGCCCCCCAAUAGGCAUUGAUGCCGGUGAGAGUCUGGAAUUAUCUGAAUUCCUUGGACCCAUGAUGGCCCCUUCUGGGUCCCAGCCUCUCGGGACACUGGCCCCAUCGCGGGUCGCUGGCUACACAGAUCGGCGAGGCCCUCCCUGGUGCCGCCACCCUUGGCAGCCAGGACACCCCAGCCUGUGGAGCUCAUGCCAGUUCCCACCAACGGCACCACCUCCAAGGUGGGGGAGACACCCGGAAAAAUCUGCCUGACACGGCAGCUUUAAAUUGAUGACCGUCAUUCCCCAUGUGGAUGGACGUAUUUUUGGAGGGUAGCCUCCAGGACCAUUUCCUCCAGCUCUGCCUGCACGGGGAAUACGCAGAUUUGUGGGGUUCGGGCUUGAAAUAGGCAGAGGCCUCGUGUGGCCAACAGCCGGUUCCCAGGACCAGGCUCCCACUGUAGCAGGUCCCUGGCCACCCCGAGUGUCCAUGCAAGGGUUGGCCAACCACAGGCAACUGGGACAUGCAUGGCCCCAGGGUGGAGGGAGCACAGCCCCCCAAACCUUUCCGAGGCAUUAGCUUUAAACUGGGAAAAGUCAGCCACUCUUUCAAGUGGCUGUUUGAUGGGGUCCUGGGCUUAGCGCUCAUCAGGCCUCCGGGUGUCUCUUUGUGAAGGGAACCCCAGCAGCCAGACAGGCCCCUUCCUGGCCCCCACAGCCCAGGCUCCUCCCCUUUACCCUCAGCGGGAGACGGGCGCCUGUGGAGAGUAAGGCCUGGGAGACGCAGAUGUCUCUUACCCCAAACGCCAGGACCCAAGACCCAGCUUCUCCCGGCCCUUGCCCCGUUCCAGGGCAGGAGAUGCAGAUAAAACAUGAGACAAAAUUCAACACCAAUUCAUGAUAAAAACCCAGCAAUCUGGGAAUAAGGGGAAACUCCCUCAACUUAAUAAACAGCAGUUAACAUUAUACUUAAUGGUGAGAAACUCAACAUUUUCUCACUAGGAUCAGGAACAAGGCAAAGAUGUCCCCUCUUGCCAUUGCUCUUCAGCAAAAUGAGACAGGACAUUUUGGAAGAGGGAAAGUGGGCAGGUGAUAACUGACUCCAUGGAGAGAAAGCCCCAGCUACUACACCUAGACAAGAAAAUCCCAAAUUCUCAGCAGGUUAAUUGGUGGAUAUCAACAAAUGGAUUCUAAAGUUUAUAUGGAGAGCCGGAGAUCCAGAAUAGCCAGCUAAAUUUUUUUAAAGAUUUUAUUCAUUUUUUGAGAGCGAGCGAGCAUAUGCCAAUGAGUGGGGGGGCAGGGAGAGAGAA